Molecule: ribosomal RNA, 243 nt
Filed under: Agaricales sp.
Lineage: Eukaryota; Fungi; Basidiomycota; Agaricomycetes; Agaricales
Description: partial large subunit ribosomal RNA
Source: RNAcentral
AAACGAUUGAAGUCAGUCGCGUCGGCCGAGACUCAACCUUACUUUUGUACGGUGUACUUCUCGGUUGAUGGGUCAACAUCAAUUUCGAUCGCCGGAUAAAGGCUUUGGGAAUGUGGCAUCUCUCGGGAUGUGUUAUAGCUUUUUACCGUAUACAGUGGUUGGGACUGAGGAACUCAGCACGCCGCAAGGCCGGGUUUUUAACCACGUUCGUGCUUAGGAUGCUGGCAUAAUGGCUUUAAUCGA